GGGGCCGCAUUCAUGCGGGACCGUGAUGAGGGACUCCAAGUGCUAGCAAAUUUUUUGCUAGCUGUUUUUAUGCCUAAAAAGCAUGUAGAGUAAGAGCUGGGUAAGACUGGUGCCAGCCGCCGCGGUAAUACCAGCAGCUCGAGUGGUGAUCGGUAUUAUUGGGCCUAAAGCGUCCGUAGCCGGUCUGGUAAACCCUUGGGUAAAUCGGGCAGCUUAACUGUUCGAAUUCCGGGUAGACUGAUAGGCUUGGGACCGGGAGAAGCUAGAGGUACUCUUGGGGUAGAGGUGAAAUCCUGUAAUCC
RNAcentral lists this ribosomal RNA (302 nucleotides) under uncultured archaeon. RNAcentral's name for it is "bacterial SSU rRNA". It matches the Rfam family "Archaeal small subunit ribosomal RNA", at positions 337 to 648 of the family's 1478-position model. The record is from RNAcentral.